ACAAAAGCAGAUAAAAAACACAAAAACAACACAAACAUAAAGCAAGCAAAGCAAAAAUCUACAAAACCAACGAAAGUUCCCGCAUUGAAACAUGGUUGAAACACACACUUUGAAACAAGAACAUAAAAAUAAUUAAAGUAAAAAUAGCACAGGAUUACAAGCAUAAAGGCGAUCCUUAAAUGCGUAAAGCAAAAAAAGCUUAAACAGCCAUACAAAUUCAAAAAAAUGCAAUUAAAAAACACUCAUGCAUGCAUAGACCAGCAUAACAACAACAAACAGUAAAUAAAUCAUUUACACAAAUGAAAAAAUGUGAAGCGCAAUGCAAAAACAACAAAAGCACAAACAGAUUAUUGGUAAAACAAUAAACACAAAAGCAACGCGGCUUAAUUUUUUCGCAAUAAAUAGGCGUUAAAUACAUAGGCUAAUAAAUAUUGACAGUAAUAACAAUAAUUAUACGCAAAUUAAAUCAUGAAGAAGGCGGGAAAAAAGGCAAGCUGUGUAGCACAUGCAAUUGGCAACAAUUCAAAUUCAAUAAAAGGCAAUACAUUUUUUUGAAGAGACCGUAAACAAUUGGCGCCGAACUGAUAGCAUUAAGUUACCAUUUUUUACAAGCUCAUAAUUUUACAAUAACAACAGCAAGCAAAUCUAGCAGUUGAAACAAAGUUUAAAAGCAGGCGGUUUAAGCAAGAACAUAGCGGUAUAAGAAUGUAAGUAGAAUCAUGAUACUACAGUUUUUAGCUUUUGAGUUUAGUUUACAUUUUUCAAGAGUUUUCCAAUGCAUUAAUGGGUUAACUUAACUUUUAUAUUGUCAACACGAAUUACUCCUGAGCCUUUCUUAUAAAAUAUUAAAAAUGAAAGAAGCUUUUAUACAUACUUUUCUAUUCUCAAAUCGAGUUACAACUGAGCUUUUCGUAUAAAAGCUCACACAUUUUUAAACAUCAGUAUUCUAUUAAGUUAGUACAAGUGAUAGCGUCUGUUAGUUAGGAACCUUGAAAGAUUUUAUUCAAAAUUUCGAAGCUUAAAGCUUAGGUCAAAGUUUACAUUUUUUAUUUACUGUACAUACAUUUGUGUAUGAUACAAGUAAAAGCAUCUGUAACUUUUUGAGCCUUGAAAGCUUUUGCUCAAAAUUGUGAGCUUAAAGCUCAGGUCAGCACUCGAUCAGAACCCCACAUGUUAUUUGAUAUGAUCUUUGAUUAGUACAAGUAGCAGAGCUCGUAAUUUUAUCAACCUUGAAAGCUUUUGUUUAAAGUUCCGAAGCUUAAAGCUCAAAUCAGCACUUCACACGCCCCUACAUGUUAUUCUGUGUUUGAAACAAGUGAUAGCGCCUGUUACUUAAUGAUCUUUGAAAGCUUUUGCUUAAAAUUUCUCAGCUUAAGCUUUCUCAGAUCAGCACUCCAUAAGAGCGUAUAACUUGCUACACAUAUUUUUGUCUUAAAAAUUACGCUAAAAUACUGAUGUUAACACUCUUGUCUCAAUAUUCCAUCAAUAUCUAAAGCUUAAAUAAAGUUUUAAUAUCAGUCACGGACAAAUAUGAUAUUCUAUAACCUUAACGUAGUAAAUAUUAACACCACCUAUCUCUUUCGCAAUAAAUACAAUCAUGUUUCAAAUAUUUUCAGCUAUAUUUAACGUUUUUGCUUAACGAAAAAUUUAGUUUGAAAAAAAAUAUUCUUGGCAAUUUGAUAUAUUUUAGAUUUUUGUUUAGAAAAAAGUCCGAAAGCUCUGAGUUGAAUAUUAUAGAAAGAGGCAGAGACGAAAUUGAUCGUGCAGUUUUCUAAAAACUUUUUUGGUUUUUAAAAUAUAUGCAGUCAACCAUAAAAGCUUUUUUUAGAACUUAAAGUUCACUGAAUUAACUAUUUCAAGAGUACGUGGCAGAAAAAUAUCAUGCGAUUUUCUAAGUAAAUUGUAGGUGUAAUAGAAACAAAUUUUUUUGGAGCUUAAAGCUUUACACGGUUCUCGAGAAAAACUGUGGUUAGCAAAAUUCUGAAAAUCUUCUACCAAAUUGGCAAUAAGUUAAAAACUACAAAAAUGUUUUCUUGGAAUAUUAUUUACAGUCACUCCAAAAGCGCUGCCUUAAACUUGUUCAGUUGUUGAUAUGAAAAGCUCUUAUGUAUUCUUUACUAAAUGUUUCCUAGAAACAAUUUAAUCUGCUGAAUAAAGGAACACUGAAAACUCUUGGGAAAAAGCUUAAAAUAUGCUCAAAGCUUAGACCAUAAACUUCAAGCGUUUGUAAGCUAUUACAAAUUCACUUUAAAUACAAAAAAUCGCAACAACAACAACAGUUUUAUUUUGCGCCUACGCUUGAAACUGCGUUGAAGGAAUAAUACUUUACAGGUUGUCCCAAAUUUAGAUUUUCCGCUAUUUCAAUUAAUCUUCAGAGUUGACGAAGUUGAAACACUAUAAAGAUCAUAUUUUGUUUGAAAUUUUCAAACUGCGGCCACCAAACUUUCGUUGCUUUUGAAAUAUUGAUCAAUAAUAAAGACACAUUGUUCUAUUGAGUAACGCUCCUUUUUUCUUAAGCCUAAACUGUCAGCCGUCGCUUUUUUUGGGGACACCUUGUAUUCAGUUCCAAUCUUGCGUUUACUUUUGGAAGCGCUUUAUACAAGUAUAUCACCAUGACUUUUUUCUGAUUAAAAACACAUAAAUUUACCGCUUAACAUACUCUAUCGCCAGCUCAAGUCUAUAACUAAAGCUCACAUACUAUACAGCGUCACCUAAAAUGCAAAAUAACGUAUCAUCAUAUUUUAAAACGAAAACCCAAAUUUUGUUCCAAUAUGAGUAAUUUCUAUUAUAACGAUUUUCCUUCGCCUCUAAACUUUUGAAAAAUGAUGCUACGUUAUUUUGCAUUUUAGAUGACGAAAUACUCUUCAGACCGUUUGCGUUGCCUUUAAACUAAACUAUCUAUUUUCCUUUCAAUGAACUAGUAUUAAACAGAAUUUUGAAUAAAUGCAUGUGUAGACGAAAUCAUAAGAAAUAAAUUACGCGUAUUAAAAGUGAAAAUCGACAAGCAAUGUGAUGUUAAGUUUGAAUGCAUUUAACUAUUAUUGAGAGAAAAACAACUGUAACUAUGAGCAAUUUCGCUUGAAACCUAUGAAGUAUUUGCUACAUAAAAGUAAAAAAAAAACUAAUGAAAAUUUAACCAAUGCACCUUAAGUUACUCUAAUAUAUUUUUAAUCUCAAAAUACAUACUUUAAACAUAUAAAAUAAAAUAAAACAUAAUCUAACAAAAGUAAAUGAAAAGUAGAAAAAUGCGCAAAAGCAACAGCAGUCCAUAGCUUUUAAGUCAAAGUGCAUUCGACUAUUUAAAUGGAAUGUUUAACAGCAAAAAGAACAAAAGGGAAUCAAUUCCCUUGGUCAUUUUAUAUAAUUUCUCAUGAAAACAUUUUUAGUUUUGCGUAAUAAAAAUUUAAUAAAUCAGUAAAUACUUGAAAGCGUAUUGCCUUUUU
Bactrocera tryoni is the source of this 3443-nucleotide long non-coding RNA. RefSeq lists it as uncharacterized. The record is from RefSeq and is a predicted model, not a curated record. The transcript has 2 exons. NCBI's taxonomy places the organism in Eukaryota, Metazoa, Arthropoda, Insecta, Diptera, Tephritidae.